This 500-nucleotide ribosomal RNA is filed under the name uncultured bacterium. Its description in RNAcentral is "partial 16S ribosomal RNA". It matches the Rfam family "Bacterial small subunit ribosomal RNA", at positions 30 to 523 of the family's 1533-position model. The record is from RNAcentral.
AUUGAACGCUGGCGGCAUGCCUUACACAUGCAAGUCGAACGGCAGCACGGGAGCAAUCCUGGCGGCGAGUGGCGAACGGGUGAGUAAUAUAUCGGAACGUGCCCAGUCGUGGGGGAUAACGUAGCGAAAGCUACGCUAAUACCGCAUACGAUCUAUGGAUGAAAGCGGGGGAUCGCAAGACCUCGCGCGAUUGGAGCGGCCGAUAUCAGAUUAGGUAGUUGGUGAGGUAAAGGCUCACCAAGCCGACGAUCUGUAGCUGGUCUGAGAGGACGACCAGCCACACUGGGACGGAGACACGGCCCAGACUCCUACGGGAGGCAGCAGUGGGGAAUUUUGGACAAGGGGCGCAAGCCUGAUCCAGCAAUGCCGCGUGCAGGAUGAAGGCCUUCGGGUUGUAAACUGCUUUUGUACGGAACGAAACGGCGAGCUCUAAUACAGUUUGCUAAUGACGGUACCGUAAGAAUAAGCACCGGCUAACUACGUGCCAGCCGCCGCCGUAA